Pelodiscus sinensis (Chinese soft-shelled turtle) is the source of this 99-nucleotide microRNA precursor. NCBI's taxonomy places the organism in Eukaryota, Metazoa, Chordata, Testudines, Trionychidae. The record is from Ensembl.
CUAGCUGCUUGGCUUUGAGAACUGAAUUCCAUAGGCUUUAAAAUAAGAAAAAUGCCCUGUGGAUUCAGUUCUGUAGCUAGGCAGCAAAUUACCUGCAGC